Molecule: antisense RNA, 159 nt
Filed under: Helianthus annuus (common sunflower)
Lineage: Eukaryota; Viridiplantae; Streptophyta; Magnoliopsida; Asterales; Asteraceae
Description: Antisense RNA which regulates isiA expression
Rfam family: Antisense RNA which regulates isiA expression
Source: RNAcentral
UGUAACCAAAUAUGAUACUUGGGCUAAGCGUCAAGUUGGUGAUUUUUCUUACAUCUCCUCCUCUUGGAGCCCAAGUAUCAUACGCCCCCAAAAUAAAGAGCCUUGAAUACUAGAAGAAAAGCACCUAGACCUAACCGAAGAAUGGAAAAGAUUCUUCAA